UGAUCCCCAACAAACUAUGACGUGGUUUUUUAAAAUGCCCGCGCACAACGGUAAACCAGAAACUAACAAGUGUUUUUUUUAAAAAUGUCCGCGUCCAACGGUAAACUAGUGCUUCCAUAACCACAUCCCUCACGUUUAAUAUCCUUUUGAAUGUGAGGAGCGGAGUUCAAAUUUGAAAUGGCAGAAAAUUGAAGUUAUUCAAGAUUUCUCCAUGAUAAUGAGAAGAGAGAAAUUCGAACUUCUGCUGAAUAGGUGGUGCUGUAAAGGGGUUAUUUCGCAGAGAUUGAAGGUUACAUGAGUGGAGCAUGCAGAACAUGAUAAUAUUGGGGUGCACAGGAUAUUUUGUGUAGUAGUAAAUAAUGGGUUGGCCUUUGAAGUACAACUCUGCAGUGCCAGUGUGAAAGGAUUACAUUCCUCGCAGCAACAAACACUCAUGUUGCUGCCAGAGAUAUCACUACGAGUUCUUACAAGCAUUAGAAUAAUGGCUGCAGGAGCAUGAUGAAGCUUACUGAGAGGAUGAGAAAUAAAUUCUGGACAGACUAUAGGUGUAAUUUUUAGAGCAACAUCUAUACGGGUUCCUAUUUCUCCAGAUUGAUUGUUUGAGUUAUUAAGAGAUGAGAGACUUAAAAAUGAGAUACCAAAAGGAAGGCAGAUGUAGACAAGGACGAAGCAGCAAGACAAAGGCAACAUCAAGACUACUCCAACUGUACUAGUCAUUUAGGCAAUGACUGGUUCCAUUCUCAACAUGCUCUCUUUUAUUUUGUACUCAUGUAUACAUGCCUAUUUAUUUCCUUCUUGCACCUGAUGCAUGUAGCCAGUCUCACGGC
Molecule: long non-coding RNA, 827 nt
Organism: Cryptomeria japonica (Japanese cedar)
Lineage: Eukaryota; Viridiplantae; Streptophyta; Pinopsida; Cupressales; Cupressaceae
Exons: 4
Source: RefSeq, a predicted model, not a curated record